RNAcentral lists this ribosomal RNA (289 nucleotides) under uncultured bacterium. RNAcentral describes it as "partial 16S ribosomal RNA". It matches the Rfam family "Bacterial small subunit ribosomal RNA", at positions 222 to 509 of the family's 1533-position model. The record is from RNAcentral.
CGGAUCGGCUCGCGUGCCAUUAGGUAGACGGCGGGUAACGGCCCACCGUUGCCGACGAUGGCUAGGGGUUCUGAGAGGAAGGUCCCCCACAUUGGAACUGAGACACGGUCCAGACUCCUACGGAGGCAGCAGUGAGGAAUAUUGGACAAUGGCCGGAAGGCUGAUCCAGCCAUGCCGCGUGCGGGAGGACGGCCCUAUGGGUUGUAAACCGCUUUUGCGGGGGAGCAAUAAUCACUACGUGUAGUGAGAUGAGAGUACCCUGCGAAUAAGCAUCGGCUAACUCCGUGCC